AGUGAACGCUGGCGGUAGGCUUAACACAUGCAAGUCGAACGGUAACACAGUAUGAGCUUGCGCUUACGGGUGGCGGGGUGCGUACUGGUGCGGAAUACAUCGGGAGCUACUUUUUCGUGGGGGGUAACGUGUGCAAACUUACGCUGAUACCGGAGGCGACCUACGGGGGAAAGCAGGGGAUCUUUGGACCUUGCGCCUUUGAAUGAGCCGAUGUCGGAUUAGCUAGUUGGCGGGGUAAAGGCCCACCAAGGCGACGAUCCGUAGCUGGUCUGAGAGGAUGAUCAGCCACACUGGAACUGAGACACGGCCCAGACUCCUACGGGAGGCAGCAGUGGGGAAUAUUGGACAAUGGGCGCAAGCCUGAUCCAGCAAUACCGCGUGGGUGAAGAAGGCCUUCGGGUUGUAAAGCCCUUUUGUUGGGAACGAAAAGCCGCAGGUUAAUACCCCGGUGUUAUGACGGUACCCAAAGAAUAAGCACCGGCUAACUUCGUG
This 492-nucleotide ribosomal RNA is filed under the name uncultured bacterium. Its description in RNAcentral is "partial 16S ribosomal RNA". It matches the Rfam family "Bacterial small subunit ribosomal RNA", at positions 29 to 507 of the family's 1533-position model. The record is from RNAcentral.